UUUUGAACCAGAUGAUGAUGGAUGUUGAGACAUGUUGUAGAGCUUUUGAGAGAAGUUUCUUUGCCCUAGCUGAGUUUCUCUGAGAAGUUGAAUGGAGAUGGAAAUUGUUGUGUUUAGGUAGCGUGUGCUUAUGGCAUAGAUACUAUUUUCAAUGCUAGGGAAUGACUUUUCAUUAAUGUGGCUCUUUCUUUUAAGUGGGCAGACACUAUUUUU
This 213-nucleotide long non-coding RNA is filed under the name Lathyrus oleraceus (garden pea). RNAcentral describes it as "Pisum sativum (pea) long non-coding RNA (PSAT_LNC023977)". Lineage: Eukaryota; Viridiplantae; Streptophyta; Magnoliopsida; Fabales; Fabaceae. The record is from RNAcentral.